This is a long non-coding RNA of Malus domestica (apple), 800 nucleotides long. RefSeq lists it as uncharacterized. NCBI's taxonomy places the organism in Eukaryota, Viridiplantae, Streptophyta, Magnoliopsida, Rosales, Rosaceae. The record is from RefSeq and is a predicted model, not a curated record.
CUCGACUUUUCCAGGAUCCAUCAUUCUCUCUUAAGAUGGAUCCAUCAUUUCUUAAGAUGGACUCUCGCCUGCCACCGCUUCCUUAGCGCCUACUCCACCGCUCACUCAUCUUCUCGUUGAAGCUACGGUGGUAUUUAUCGGUGCUACCACUACGGUGCCACAACUCGAUCCUGACUAUCAGGUCAACUCGCCCGUUCGACGACACCGGUUACCUGGGCUACGACCCCCGACUCUUCUCCCAGAGAUUCAAAUCCUUCGUCGACUCCUAGUCGCUCAAGGACUCUGCCACUGAUUCCCCAAUAUUCCACGGCUCCGCCGUAGACGACGCUUUCGCUACUCAGUUGGCGUCGGAUGCCUUCUCUCCUUCCUCUAUCUACGACAAAUCGAACAACCAGGGCUUGGAUGGAGGGUUUGGCAGGUCCGACGAUCCGAUUUUUCCGCCUCCGUCGGCGAUGCUGCCUGAGGAAGGCUUCGCUCUUGGAGGAUGGAGGAGGUGUGCAAUGUGAUCUCCCAUUUGAGUUUCAGGUUCUGGAUAUUGCACUAGAAGUUGUCUGUACAUACUUGACUUCAAGUGUGGCAUACCUUGAGAAAGAAUCCUACCCUGUUUUAGAUGAACUGGCCAGAAAUGUGGCAGCGCUUAAUCUAUCUAGAGAGUAGAGAUUAGUGUAAACUCUCGUGUUCUAAACUACCUGAUUCAUAUAAUGCAAAUGUUACUUUUAUCUUCUUUGCGAUUGAGUGUUAUUGUAAAAAAAGUAUAACAGUUUGAAGGUUACUUUAAGUAUGUUUGUGUAAAACCUGCA